GCUUGGAGGCUUGAUCGGGUGUGAUCAGACAUGCAAAUGCAUGAUUGGACGGCCAGAAAAGAUGUGCAUUGUUGAUCAGACAGUCUAAACAUAUGUGAAUUCUGAUCAAGAGUGUUUCUUCGAUCAAGAGUGGGUUUUGUGGUCUAUACAGAAGGCCUGACGGUCCGAGGAGAUCUGUGCGCAGUCGGCAGAGCAGAUGCAGAUAGAGCACCGAUAGAAAGUCGGUGCCAGAGCAGAGC
RNAcentral lists this long non-coding RNA (239 nucleotides) under Elaeis guineensis (African oil palm). Its description in RNAcentral is "long non-coding RNA (EGUI_LNC026172)". Lineage: Eukaryota; Viridiplantae; Streptophyta; Magnoliopsida; Arecales; Arecaceae. The record is from RNAcentral.